GUAGGUGAACCUGCGGAAGGAUCAUUACCUCUCAAUGCAGAAGAGUUGAGGUGGUUGAGUAUCUCGCCCCUCACUUCUCGCUGUAUUUUACCCUUGUUUUUCUCAUACUAUUAUUUCCUCGGCAGGCCAGCCUGCCGGGUGAAACAACUUCGAACCUGUUUAAUUUUCAAUCAGCGUCUGAACAAAUUAAUAAUUACAACUUUCAACAACGGAUCUCUUGGUUCUG
Molecule: unclassified non-coding RNA, 226 nt
Filed under: rhizosphere metagenome
Description: partial ribosomal RNA internal transcribed spacer region
Source: RNAcentral